Non-coding RNA from Culex pipiens (northern house mosquito), 58 nucleotides. Lineage: Eukaryota; Metazoa; Arthropoda; Insecta; Diptera; Culicidae. The record is from Rfam.
UGGCUUAAUGGUUACGGCUUCUGUCUCCCAAGCAGAAGGUUCAGGGAUCAAAUCCCGG